This is a long non-coding RNA of Heterocephalus glaber (naked mole-rat), 946 nucleotides long. NCBI's taxonomy places the organism in Eukaryota, Metazoa, Chordata, Mammalia, Rodentia, Bathyergidae. The record is from Ensembl.
CAGCCCUUUUUCAAAACGUUUGAAAUACAGUCCCACUAAAUCACUAAGUUGCCUGGGCUGUGCUUGAACUUGCAGUCUUCCUUCCUCAUACAAUUAUAAUGAGAACCAAGAUUGCAGCACACUCAUGCUUGUAAGAUUAAACCAAAUCUAAGCCAUAGCAUCAUAUGACAUUGCCUCUGCUUUUGUAAGCUGUGUAUGACUCAUUCAGGGACAGACAACUGCUUUUGAGGUUCUUCAAUGCGUGCCUUGGCCAACUGAGGCCCUUCACAGAGGAUCAAUCCCUUGUGAGCUGAGACCUAACAAGCGCUGCAGUUGGUGACAGAGCUGGUGCUGCUGUGGUGUGUAGACCUGAGAGCUGGGAAUGCAAUUUGGAAUCACACAUGAGACUGAGAGAUGUUCCAUCUGAAGGACCUGAGGUCUCCUCCAUCCUACCAUGGUGACAACCUGCCUUGUCCUGAAGCCAAGAGUAUCUCUCAGAGCCCAAUGGAUGAAGCUUACCUGGGAGCUGGGACUAGGGGAGGUCAACAGAGGAUGGAAAGACUGAGGGUGUGUGGGGAAGUGGAAAUGGGCAGGGCUUCUUUGUGGGCUAAAUAGUAACUUGAAAAGAAUAGCAAGAAUAAAGUUUUGCACAAGUAUACAAACUCUGUGUAUCUGUGAUUAUCAUUGUAAUAAGAGAGCUUUCAGGUAAUGAACUGAACUAGUCCACUGUUGUAAACACUGCAUUACGGGCGAAGUUGGCCGUUCAUAUUUCUCAAGGAAGCUUGGCCUUUAUUCUGAUGGAAGUUGUGUUUCCUUCCUGGGAAAAUCUAACUGGGAAAAAAAUGUCUGCUGAACUCCUUUGCAGACUUGUAGAUGGUUUCUGAGUCACAUUUUGAGUAGUACCAAACUAGGAAACCACUAAAGUGGUUGAAAUUAAGCACAAAGAGUUGGAGUUCUGACAUCAGGC